Non-coding RNA from Vicia faba (fava bean), 204 nucleotides. The record is from the annotation of a GenBank genome assembly. Lineage: Eukaryota; Viridiplantae; Streptophyta; Magnoliopsida; Fabales; Fabaceae.
AUGUUUCUAGACAUAUUUGGGACAGAGGAGCGUGAUCCGCUAAAAUUCAUCAACCAUAUACGAAAGGAGCUGUUGAACAUCUUCGUAGUUCCACCUAUCUUUUUUGCUAUUGAUCUUUCCCUAGUUGAUCCAGAGUCUACGGGAAUUGGUUCCGAUCCUACUAUUGUUUCCACUCCCGAUGACCUUGCAACUGAUUUACCCUGA